CUCAAACCUUCUGAACUUCACUUGCAAAGCUUGGUUUGAAAGCUGGCUCUGCGUUAAGUACAUUGUUAGUAAUGUUGGCAGCAGUUACACUGCAAGAUACAAUCAGUUGGGCUUGACACAAAACUCACUUAAGUAUUCCUGAAGAGAAGCUGCAGAACAUGCAAGCUGUCAGAUAAAGGGAAGGUGGGAGAGGAAACUUGAAUUGAUCUUCUGUUGUAAGUGGAACUGCACUGUGGCCUAUCACCAGUUUGGCCCUAUACAGGACCCCAGUACUGAGUGAGUAAGUUUUGCCAUCCCAUGAUCCUGAGAUUGAAGAGUCUGGCAGCAAUGGAAGGUGGUUAAGAAAACGUCUGCUCCCAAAAGGACAGGAUUGCUUUUGUGUUUCACCUGAUGAUCAAACUAGAGGUCUCAGCACCUUUCAGCAAGUGGCCCAGUCUCGCCUGUGCAAGCUCACUCUGAUCUACUUGCAUUUACACACACUCUGAGGACCCAUCAGUAAUUGAGUGAGCAGUGGUGUUAUUCCAGCAGCUUUGAAGAGUGUCACCACUCUAGGUUAAGGCAUCCAAGAUGCCUUUCCAUGAAAUGCCCAGUGACACCUGUUCAAGGUGAUGACGGCUUCCAGUCACACAUCCUAGGUGAAACAAGAUUGGGUCUAGAAUGGAGUACCACCUGUAUCACCUUCAACUGAAAGGAGAGGGGUGACUAAUAUUUUUUUAAUCAGCCUGACCCAAAUAAUAGAGUAGAUGUACAAUGGUUUACAUUUAUUAAGGGGUGACAGAAGAGGCACCUGGUAUCUCAGACUGUUGUGCAUGUCAGGCUCCAAAGGAGAUGUCUAACAUAUCAGUCUAGAGAAGAGGAGGCUCAGGGGAGACCUUAUUGCUCUCUAUAACUACCUGAAGGGAGGUUGUAGUGACCUGGGGAUCAGCCUCUUCUCUCAAGUGACUAGUGAUAGGACUAGAGAGAAUGGCUUCAAGCUGCGCCAGGGAAGAUUCAGGCUGGACGUUAGGAGAUACUACUUCUCUGAAAGGGUGGUCAGGCACUGGAAUGGGCUGCCCAGAGAGGUGGUGGAGUCACCGACCCUGGUGGUGUUCAAAGAGCGUUUGGAUGUUGUGCUGAGGGACAUGGUUUAGCGAGAACCAUUGGUGAAGGGCGAAUGGUUGGACUGGAUGAUCCUGUGGGUCUUUUCCAACCUUAGUGAUUCUAUGAUUCUGUGAUUCAUUAUUCUGAAGCGUAACAUUCGACACAAUUCUCUAUGAAUUGAAAUGUCUUCACAGAUAGAUACACUUUGAUUAGCAAUUUAUUUUGAGGAUUGUAAUGUAAGCAUAUGGUUCCUUUUUUUGUCUCUGACCCUAAGAAUGCUUGAGUUUGAAAUCUGCAAAAUACUGCUUUUGGUUUAUAUCUAAGCUUAAUUUUUUUUAACAGGACAGGGUUUCUUUCUCAAUAUCCUACUGAGUAAUCUUAUGAUAUACUGAAGACUGUCUGCAAAUUGCAUGGAACCCCACCAGUAGAAGACAGUGUGUGGUGUAUUAGCGUGGAGAGUUUGCCCAUGACCUUUCUCAUCUUUCCACUAUCCAAAUUUGACAGGUACUGAGCUGGAACAACUGAAACCUUCCCAUGAUUUUGACAAAUUUAAGUUGUGCUAUGGCUGGCACUGUCCAAAAAAUUCCCAUGUCUCUGAUCUAUUUCCUGCAACUCCUGUUUGCUUGUGAGUCCUUUCUCCCUUUUUCUUCAUGCGGUCUUUUCCAGGCACUUCAGUGACUACUUAUUCCUAUGGGGCUGUUCAUAAGCUCUUAUAGGUUAUAGGGCUUAACAUGCAAGCAUCUGUGUGGAAGACAAUACAUGACUAACCAUUCAAAAGAGAGGGCUUCCAGAUACCUGACUGUCCAGGACAUGCUUUCAUUUGGUAAUGGUGAAUCAAACUGGUGAGGCCUCUCCUGGAGUACUGUAUCCAGUUCUGGGUUACCUGGUACAAAAAAGACAAGGAUCUCCUGAAGAGAGUCCAGCAGAGGGCCACAAAGAUGAUAAAGAGCCUGGAGCACCUCCCCUGUGAGGAAAAGCUGGGAGAUCUGGGUCUGUUCAGCCUCGAGAAAAGAAGACUCAGAGGUGAUCUUAGUAAUGUUUACAAAUAGUGUAGGAGUCAAAGAGAUGUGGCCAACCUCUUUUCAGUGUUCUGUGGGGACAGGACAAGGGGAAAUGGCCAUAAACUGGAGCAUAGGAAGUUCUAAAACCAGUAUGUGAAAGAACUUCUUCCUGGUGAGAGUGAUGGAGUUCUGGAAUAGGCUGCCCAGGGUGCUUGUGGAUUUUCCGUCCCUGGAGACUGUCAAGACCGAUCCAGACGCCUACUGUGCAGCCUGCUGUAGGAAGCCUGCUUUGGUGGGGGGGUUGGAAUUGAUGAUAUCUGGAGGUACUCUUCCAACCCCUACAAUUCUGUGAUUCUGUGAUAUCAUCUGAUGUGUAUGUUUUUCAGGGCAAGUAUACCACAUCUUUCUCUUCCCAUAAACUCAAGUGUACCUCAGCAGGUAGGACAGAAGGCAGAGCUCCAAGUUUGGUAACCCUGGGUUCCCAAACUACUAAUCAAGAAGCUUUGAUGAAGAACACACUUGCAACUGCAGCUGAUCAUCAAGUGGAAAUUAAUUUGUGAAUGACUGAAGGCAGCAGCAAUUUAGAGGCGCAGCAACUGAGAGAUAAGUGCCAGCACAUCUACCCGCACAAUACCUUUUCUCUGAGUAGGCUUCUGUUUUCUCUUACAGUAUUCUUUGAACUGGCUUGUAGGGCCAUACUUGUCAAUUAUUUCAAUAGUCAAAUGGAUGAUAACUUCUGUUACCAACUAUUUAUAUUAUCAGUUUUCAUCCUUGAGAAUAAAUGAGCUGCAUAUAUCUGCAGGGGCAAUGCAUGUGUGCCUAUGUCUAUCUAAUGAGUACGCAGAGUAGAAAAUUGCACAAACUGUUGCUGUUCUCUUGCUAUCCAAUGUAAUUUAUAUUUGAAUUAUAAUGAACUCACAGCUAAAGCUGAAUCAAAACAUUAUGAAAUGAGUCAAAUUGUUCAUGUGCCAGUUUGUAGUUCUAUGCUGCAAGGUUUUAUUACUAUUCUAGGGUAGCUCACCAAAAAGUAGACUCAUCUGUGCUCACAUUAUGUGCUAAAAUUAGCAAACGCUCAUUCUUAGUGUCAAAUGAAGGAAACAGAAUUUCAUGGAAAAGAUUUAUUGAAGUGCAGAUCAGUUCUCUGUUACUGAUGCUUCAGUCCACACGAUCACUCCAGCAGUAGCAUUUCUUGGUUGCGCAGUGUUACUUGAGCUGCUACCUUGAGCUUCUCCCCAUUAGAUAAAGGAUCUGCUUAAACAGUAUAUAUCACAUGGGAUUCAGUGCUGGGCAGUUAUAGCAGGUAUUAUCAUCUUUCAUGUUUGGGGUGGCAUAAUUAACAUUAAAGAUGAAGUGUAACUUAAAAUUAGCAUUAAUUUUUUCAAAGUAAGUUUAGAAAAACUAGCUGAAAUGAUAAUUCCAGGAAGGAAUGAUGUGUAACUCUAUGAGAUACACAUAGAACGUAUAUUUGUAUAUGUGUAUUUAACAUGUUGUCUCUAUUAAAUAGAUACUAAUAUAUUAAUUAAAACAUAGUGAGUAUGUUUGCAUGUAUACCAGUAAGCUUAUUAUAUCCUUAUCUGUAGACCAUAUUUUAAGCUUUAUUGAAAGGAAACAACCUCUGUGUUUAUCUUUUCAGCUGUCUCCUCUUUGAACCUGGAAGUGAAUUUGAAUGUUACAUGUGACUUGUCUAGCAUUAUCGCUGAGUACGGUAUCUUCCAUCAAAGCCAAGGCUGGUGGCAGUAGUUCAUGCUUCCCUGAGUAGCUCUGCUCACUGUGCUACAGCUCUACCGCUGGGGGUGAAAUGACUUUAACCCUUAAAAUAAACUUAAAUAAAAUUUCGUAGGACUCGGG
Gallus gallus (chicken) is the source of this 3929-nucleotide long non-coding RNA. The record is from Ensembl. Lineage: Eukaryota; Metazoa; Chordata; Aves; Galliformes; Phasianidae.